AAUUGAUGGCAGGUGGAAGAAGAG
RNAcentral lists this microRNA (24 nucleotides) under Zea mays. Its description in RNAcentral is "microRNA miR-3088". Lineage: Eukaryota; Viridiplantae; Streptophyta; Magnoliopsida; Poales; Poaceae. The record is from RNAcentral.